RNAcentral lists this unclassified non-coding RNA (240 nucleotides) under soil metagenome. RNAcentral describes it as "partial contains 5.8S ribosomal RNA, internal transcribed spacer 2, and large subunit ribosomal RNA". The record is from RNAcentral.
AACGCACGAGACCUGCGGACCUGCGGAAGGAUCAUUACCGAGUUCUCGCCCCUCGCGGGGUAGACCUCCCACCCACUGUGAUCACUACCGUCGUUGCUUUGGCGGGCCGCUGGGCCCAGCCCACCGCCGGCUCCGGCUGGCGCGUGCCCGCCAGAGGCCCUACAAACGCUGGAUAUCAGUGCCGUCUGAGUACACAUGUUAAUCGUUAAAACUUUUAACAAUGGAUCUCUAGAUCGGAAG